This 492-nucleotide ribosomal RNA is filed under the name uncultured bacterium. Its description in RNAcentral is "partial 16S ribosomal RNA". It matches the Rfam family "Bacterial small subunit ribosomal RNA", at positions 29 to 507 of the family's 1533-position model. The record is from RNAcentral.
AUUGAACGCUGGCGGCAUGCUUUACACAUGCAAGUCGAACGGUAACAGGCCUUCGGGUGCUGACGAGUGGCGAACGGGUGAGUAAUGCAUCGGAACGUACCCAGAGGUGGGGGAUAACGCAGCGAAAGCUGUGCUAAUACCGCAUGUGAUCUAAGGAUGAAAGCGGGGGACCGAGCAGCAAUGUUUGGCCUCGCGCCUUUGGAGCGGCCGAUGUCGGAUUAGCUAGUUGGUGGGGUAAAGGCCUACCAAGGCGACGAUCCGUAGCUGGUCUGAGAGGACGACCAGCCACACUGGGACUGAGACACGGCCCAGACUCCUACGGGAGGCAGCAGUGGGGAAUUUUGGACAAUGGGCGCAAGCCUGAUCCAGCAAUGCCGCGUGCGGGAAGAAGGCCUUCGGGUUGUAAACCGCUUUUGGCAGGAACGAAACGGUGUCCGCUAAUACCGGGCGCUAAUGACGGUACCUGCAGAAUAAGCACCGGCUAACUACGUG